GAAAUGCGAUAAGUGGUGUGAAUUGCAGAAUUCAGUGAAUCAUCGAAACUUUGAACGCACGUUGCGCCCGCCAGCACUCUGGCGGGCAUGCCUGUUCGAGCGUCAUUGCAACCAUCAAGCCCGCGGGCUUGCGUUGGGGACCUGCGGCUGCCCGCAGGUCCUGAAAACCAGUGGCGGGCUCGCUGUCAGCCCGGUCGUAGUAGCAUCAUCUCGUCCAGGGCGUGGCUGCGGGCUCCGGCCGUUAAACCUUCUCAAACCCAAAGGUUGACCUCGGAUCAGGUAGGAAUACCCGCUAAACUUAA
This 302-nucleotide unclassified non-coding RNA is filed under the name uncultured Sordariomycetes. RNAcentral describes it as "sequence contains ITS1". The stretch from base 1 to 105 matches the Rfam family "5.8S ribosomal RNA", at positions 50 to 154 of the family's 154-position model. Lineage: Eukaryota; Fungi; Ascomycota; Sordariomycetes. The record is from RNAcentral.